AGUGAACGCUGGCGGUAGGCCUAACACAUGCAAGUCGAACGGCAGCACAGUAAGAGCUUGCUCUUACGGGUGGCGAGUGGCGGACGGGUGAGGAAUACAUCGGAAUCUACUUUUUCGUGGGGGAUAACGUAGGGAAACUUACGCUAAUACCGCAUACGACCUACGGGUGAAAGCAGGGGAUCUUCGGACCUUGCGCGAUUGAAUGAGCCGAUGUCGGAUUAGCUAGUUGGCGGGGUAAAGGCCCACCAAGGCGACGAUCCGUAGCUGGUCUGAGAGGAUGAUCAGCCACACUGGACCUGAGACACGGUCCAGACUCCUACGGGAGGCAGCAGUGGGGAACAUUGGACAAUGGGCGAAAGCCUGAUCCAGCAAGACGGCGGAGGUGAAGAAGGCCUUCGGGUUGUAAAGCCUUUUUGUUGGGAAAGAAAAGCAGCAGGUUAAUACCCCGCUGUUCUGACGGUACCAAAAGAAUAAGCACCGGCUAACUUCGU
Molecule: ribosomal RNA, 491 nt
Filed under: uncultured bacterium
Lineage: Bacteria
Description: partial 16S ribosomal RNA
Rfam family: Bacterial small subunit ribosomal RNA
Source: RNAcentral